Long non-coding RNA from Coturnix japonica (Japanese quail), 1781 nucleotides. NCBI's taxonomy places the organism in Eukaryota, Metazoa, Chordata, Aves, Galliformes, Phasianidae. The record is from Ensembl.
UAAGGACAGAGAAAUGUAAAACAGCUGUCUCGAAAGUUUGCUGCAUGAAGGAUUGGAGCUGCCUUUAUUCCCUCCUCUUCCCUCCUGAUGCACUAUUCAGACCUAUUGCUUAUUGACUGAUAGGCUUAUUGAUGAAAUAUCCAGCAGUGAUGCAGCCCAGGGAGGUCAGUAGGGUGCAAUUACAGGCAGAGCAGGCUUGGGUGUGCUUCUGAACUACUCCUCCCUGCACAGCUCUUUCAGUAUGCAUAUCACAUCUCCCUGCUUGUAGCAGGCUGAUGAGUGUGUGCAGUUAGUGCAGGCACACACAUACUUCUGCGCUUUCCCUGAAAGUGGAGCAUUAGCAACUGCAGUCAAAAAGCACCCUUGCUUCUUCAGCUCUGAUCCUAGCAGCAACUGUCUGAUUCUGUCUGGAGGAACUGGGAGACAGCACUGGAGGCAAGUUUAAAACGGACCUAGUGACACCCGGCUGUCACAUCUGGCUUCAUGAAUCUACUUAUUACCAGUACACUUACAAUUACUUUCCCAGUCCCAUUGGUAGUGUAUGUUCUUGAGGACUGCCUGGCUGGGAAGGAAGGAGCACAGUGCUGAAGGGUCAUAUUCAGGAUGCUUACAGGCUCUUCACGCUGCUUACAAGGGCUCUUCAGUCCCUCUUGCUGGAGUGUGCAAAGCUGAUGCAGUAAAAUAUGACCCACAUAUGCAGGGCUUUCUGUCUCCCUCAGAAGCCAACAGAAAGUAGCAGGCAUGAAAACUUAGUGAAGCUAUUAUGCUAAGCUGCAUAAGCAAGAGGCAUCCAUUGAUAUUUAUUUAUAGAGUUUGGACCUCAGCUGAUGUGAAAUGCUUCCUUUAAUUAUCACACCACCUUCUAUGUCUUAUGCCAUAUAGUGGGAAAAACUCUUCUUGAGUCCAUCUUUGACUGCAUUUUUACUUGCUUGUCACGGGUUACUUAGAUUUACCUAUGCCCAUGACAGGGGAAGCCACCCCGUAGGGCCCCCCAGGGCCCGGAAAGGAGGGGGAAAAGGGGAAUGGGAUAAAAACAGCGGCAAUCUAAGGAGGAAAAACUUAUUUUACUAAAUAUGAUAUCGAAAUACAAGAUAACACAAGAUAAUAUAAUUGAGGCUAACAAAUCGAAUGAAACAGAGAGAGAGAGUCCCCGAAAACCGAGAGGCCUACUGUGAACUCUAGGCGACAUGGCUGGAACGCUUCCCACUCUCUGAGAAGUUCGAGAGAAGAAGGAGGGCACUCCAGCCUGGGAACAAGAUUAUAUAGCGUCCCGGUCCCGUGACUUAUCUCUGGCCAUGUUGUUCUCUGGGAUAUGUAGUCUUCUUCUGUGGACUGCACAUUCAAUAGAAGUAUCCAUGCUUUACAUGAUGUUAUGAUGUGGAAUACUGAUAGCAAAAUACAAAAUUACAAAACCAUGACAUUGCUUUAAAGCAUUUAUGACAUAUUGGACUAUGAAGUUGCUCACACUUGAAAAUGUGUCACAGCUCACAAGAAGAUAUUAGAUCAUUUCUACUUACCUUUUAUAGGAAUGCUGCAGCUUUAAGACCUUUUCUUUUGUAUUUUUUUCCUAGCUUCUUCAAAGAGUGUUACCAUUUCUUUUCCUAAAAGUUACUGGGCUUUCAUGAGACUGAUGCUGGUCAUGUACACAUCCCAUCAUUGGUGCAGCUGAGAAUUAGAAGCUUGUCUGAUGUAAUACAACACGUGUUUUUUGCAUGUUGUUUCUGCAGUGUUAAACCAUUGCUUAUAAUAAAUGCUGUGAACUAACUAAAAAUUUAUUAUGA